This 458-nucleotide ribosomal RNA is filed under the name Pratylenchus scribneri. RNAcentral describes it as "SSU rRNA". It matches the Rfam family "Eukaryotic small subunit ribosomal RNA", at positions 574 to 1036 of the family's 1831-position model. Lineage: Eukaryota; Metazoa; Nematoda; Chromadorea; Rhabditida; Pratylenchidae. The record is from RNAcentral.
CCGCGGUAAUUCCAGCUCUCAAAAUGCAUAGAAUUAUUGCUGCGGUUAAAAAGCUCGUAGUUGGAUCUGUGCCGGCAGACUGGUCCAUCUUCGGAUGCGUACUGGCUCAUGCCGGCUUUCCUGCAGUUUUGCGGCUCAGUGCCUCUCACGGGGUGCAGUGUCCGUUGCUGCAAGUUUACUUUGAACAAAUCAGAGUGCUCUAAACAGGCGUUUCGCUUGAAUGUUCGUGCAUGGAAUAAUAGAAGAGGAUUUCGGUUCUAUUUUAUUGGUUUUAUAGACUGAGAUAAUGGUUAACAGAGACAAACGGGGGCAUUCGUAUUGCUACGUGAGAGGUGAAAUUCUUGGACCGUAGCAAGACGAACUACAGCGAAAGCAUUUGCCAAGAAUGUCUUCAUUAAUCAAGAACGAAAGUCAGAGGUUCGAAGGCGAUCAGAUACCGCCCUAGUUCUAACCGUAAA